RNAcentral lists this ribosomal RNA (431 nucleotides) under uncultured bacterium. RNAcentral's name for it is "partial 16S ribosomal RNA". It matches the Rfam family "Bacterial small subunit ribosomal RNA", at positions 29 to 507 of the family's 1533-position model. The record is from RNAcentral.
AACGAACGCUGGCGGCAGGCUUAACACAUGCAAGUCGAACGCCCCGCAAGGGGAGUGGCCGCCGGGUGAGUAACGCGUGGGAACAUACCCUUUCCUGCGGAAUAGCUCCGGGAAACUGGAAUUAAUACCGCAUACGCCCUACGGGGGAAAGAUUUAUCGGGGAAGGAUUGGCCCGCGUUGGAUUAGCUAGUUGGUGGGGUAAAGGCCUACCAAGGCGACGAUCCAUAGCUGGUCUGAGAGGAUGAUCAGCCACAUUGGGACUGAGACACGGCCCAAACUCCUACGGGAGGCAGCAGUGGGGUAUAUUGGACAAUGGGCGCAAGCCUGAUCCAGCCAUGCCGCGUGAGUGAUGAAGGCCUUAGGGUUGUAAAGCUCUUUCACCGAUGAAGAUAAUGACGGUAGUCGGAGAAGAAGCCCCGGCUAACUUCGUG